Molecule: transfer-messenger RNA, 448 nt
Filed under: Pseudomonadota bacterium
Lineage: Bacteria; Pseudomonadati; Pseudomonadota
Also listed under: 1 other name
Description: Proteobacteria bacterium (freshwater metagenome) transfer-messenger RNA
Rfam family: transfer-messenger RNA
About the family: Bacterial tmRNA, also known as 10Sa RNA or SsrA, is named for its dual tRNA and mRNA-like properties. Its role is to liberate the mRNA from a stalled ribosome.
Source: RNAcentral
GGGGGCGUAAUAGAUUCGACUUAAUCGUUGAAAAUUAUAUAUGCAAGCAGUAGUUGAUCAGUUGGCUACUAUAAAAGCUGAUUAAAACAAAUAAAUGCAGAAGAUAAUACUGAUGCUCUCUUAGCUGAAGCUGAUUACAUCUUCAACAACGCCGACGAGUUCCUCGCUGGUGUUGAGGAAGAGUUCUUACUCGCAGCAUAAGAACCGAAGGUAAUCCUAUUAACCCCUUCGGUAAAUCGCAAUAGGUUAGAGUGGUAUCUACGACACUCGUAAAAUAAGUGUAGGGGGUGGAUGUAGACUCUUCACUAUAUCAGGCAGACUAAAAAAGAUAGGUUGGUAAGCCACGAGAGCCUGUAGUCAAUCAAAUCUCAAAUUUACCAAAGCUUGUGUAGAAUAUAUGAUUCUCAAUAUUAAGGACAGGGAGGGCAGUUCUCCCUCGCCUCCACCA